RNAcentral lists this ribosomal RNA (1503 nucleotides) under metagenome. Its description in RNAcentral is "bacterial SSU rRNA". It matches the Rfam family "Bacterial small subunit ribosomal RNA". The record is from RNAcentral.
AGGGUUUGAUUCUGGCUCAGAACGAACACUGGCGGCGCGCUUAAUACAUGCAAGUCGAACGGGAACGUGUCCUUCGGGGCACUAGUACAGUGGCGAACGGGUGAGUAACGCGUAAGUAAUCUACCUUUUAGUUGGGGAUAACCCUGCCAACGCGGGGCUAAUACCGAAUAGCAUUUUUUCUUCGCAUGGAGAAAAGAUAAAAGAGGCUUGUCUCGCUGGAAGAUGAACUUGCGUCCUAUUAGCUUGUUGGUGAGGUAACGGCUCACCAAGGCGAUGAUAGGUAGCCGGCCUGAGAGGGUGAUCGGCCACAUUGGGACUGAGAUACGGCCCAGACUCCUACGGGAGGCAGCAGUAGGGAAUUUUGCGCAAUGGACGAAAGUCUGACGCAGCAACGCCGCGUGAGUGGUGAAGGUCCUCGGACUGUAAAGCUCUGUCAGGAGGGAAGAAACUGUCCGGUAACACCGGGCACUGACGGUACCUCCAGAGGAAGCUCCGGCUAACUCCGUGCCAGCAGCCGCGGUAAUACGGGGGGAGCUAGUGUUGUUCGGAUUUAUUGGGCGUAAAGGGAGUGUAGGCGGAAACCUAAGUUAGGGGUGAAAAUUCGGGGCUCAACCCUGAACCUGCCUUUGAUACUGGGUUUCUUGAGUAUGGGAGAGGGUGAUGGAAUUCCUGGUGUAGCGGUGGAAUGUGUAGAUAUCAGGAGGAACACCAAUUGCGAAGGCAGUCAUCUGGAACAAUACUGACGCUGAAACUCGAAAGCGUGGGGAGCAAACAGGAUUAGAUACCCUGGUAGUCCACGCCGUAAACGAUGGAUACUAGAUAUUGGAGGAGUCAAUCCCUUCAGUGUCAAAGCUAACGCGUUAAGUAUCCCGCCUGGGGAGUACGGUCGCAAGGCUGAAACUCAAAGAAAUUGACGGGGGCCCGCACAAGCGGUGGAGCAUGUGGUUCAAUUCGAUGAUACGCGAAGAACCUUACCUGGGUUUGACAUGGGGGCAAUCGGUGCAGAGAUGUACUUUUUUCUUCGGAAAUGCCCCGCGCAGGUGCUGCAUGGCUGUCGUCAGCUCGUGUCGUGAGAUGUUGGGUUAAGUCCCGCAACGAGCGCAACCCUUGUCCUGUGUUACCAGCGGGUAAAGCCGGGGACUCACAGGAGACUGCCCCAAUUUUGGGGAGGAAGGUGGGGACGACGUCAAGUCAUCAUGGCCCUUACGCCCAGGGCUACACACGUGCUACAAUGGUUGGUACAGCGAGUCGCAAUAUCGCGAGAUGGAGCUAAUCUCAUAAAACCUGCCUCAGUUCGGAUUGGAGUCUGCAAUUUGACUCCAUGAAGUUGGAAUCGCUAGUAAUCGCGGAUCAGCAAUGCCGCGGUGAAUACGUUAUCGGGCCUUGUACAAACCGCCCGUCACACCAUGAGAGUUGAUUGUACCGGGAGUUGUUGGGCCAACCCUUCGGGGAGGCAGGCACCUAUGGUAUGGUUGAUGAUUAGGGUGAAGUCGAAACAAGGUA